AGACCCGAAACCCGGUGAUCUAGCCAUGGGCAGGUUGAAGGUUGGGUAACACUAACUGGAGGACCGAACCGACUAAUGUUGAAAAAUUAGCGGAUGACCUGUGGCUGGGGGUGAAAGGCCAAUCAAACCGGGAGAUAGCUGGUUCUCCCCGAAAGCUAUUUAGGUAGCGCCUCGUGAAUUCAUCUCCGGGGGUAGAGCACUGUUUCGGCUAGGGGGCCAUCCCGGCUUACCAACCCGAUGCAAACUGCGAAUACCGGAGAAUGUUAUCACGGGAGACACACGGCGGGUGCUAACGUCCGUCGUGAAGAGGGAAACAACCCAGACCGCCAGCUAAGGUCCCAAAGUCAUGGUUAAGU
RNAcentral lists this ribosomal RNA (356 nucleotides) under Salmonella enterica subsp. enterica. Its description in RNAcentral is "partial 23S ribosomal RNA". It matches the Rfam family "Bacterial large subunit ribosomal RNA", at positions 711 to 1064 of the family's 2925-position model. Lineage: Bacteria; Pseudomonadati; Pseudomonadota; Gammaproteobacteria; Enterobacterales; Enterobacteriaceae. RNAcentral also lists the same sequence under 2 other names. The record is from RNAcentral.